Molecule: ribosomal RNA, 494 nt
Filed under: uncultured bacterium
Lineage: Bacteria
Description: partial 16S ribosomal RNA
Rfam family: Bacterial small subunit ribosomal RNA
Source: RNAcentral
GACGAACGCUGGCGGCGUGCUUAACACAUGCAAGUCGAACGGAAAGGCCUGCUUUCCCUUGUGGAUUGCGGGUACUCGAGUGGCGAACGGGUGAGUAACACGUGAGUGAUCUGCCCCCAACUUGGGUAUAAGCCUGGGAAACUGGGUCUAAUUCCCGAUAGGACUGCAGGGUGGUGCCUGUGGUGGAAAACGAUUUUCUAGUGGUUGGGGAUGAGCUCGCGGCCUAUCAGCUUGUUGGUGGGGUAAUGGCCUACCAAGGCGGCGACGGGUAGCCGGCCUGGGAGGGGGGACGGCCACAUUGGGACUGGGAUACGGCCCAGACUCCUACGGGAGGCAGCAGUGGGGAAUAUAGCACAAUGGGCGGAAGCCUGAUGCAGCGACGCCGCGUGGGGGAUGACGGCCUUCGGGUUGUAAACUCCUUUCGACCGCGAGGAAGCCACCUGGUUGGAAGGGUGGUGACGGUAGUGGUAGAAGAAGCACCGGCUAACUACGUG